UCAUCUUCGGGGGUAGAGCACUGUUUCGGCUAGGGGGCCAUCCCGGCUUACCAACCCGAUGCAAACUACGAAUACCGAAGAAUGUUAUCACGGGAGACACACGGCGGGUGCUAACGUCCGUCGUGAAGAGGGAAACAACCCAGACCGCCAGCUAAGGUCCCAAAGUCAUGGUUAAGUGGGAAACGAUGUGGGAAGGCACAGACAGCCAGGAUGUUGGCUUAGAAGCAGCCAUCAUUUAAAGAAAGCGUAAUAGCUCACUGGUCGAGUCGGCCUGCGCGGAAGAUGUAACGGGGCUAAACCAUGCACCGAAGCUGCGGCAGCGACACUAUGUGUUGUUGGGUAGGGGAGCGUUCUGUAAGCCGUUGAAGGUGUGCUGUGAGGCAUGCUGGAGGUAUCAGAAGUGCGAAUGCUGACAUAAGUAACGAUAAAGCGGGUGAAAAGCCCGCUCGCCGGAAGACCAAGGGUUCCUGUCCAACGUUAAUCGGGGCAGGGUGAGUCGACCCCUAAGGCGAGGCCGAAAGGCGUAGUCGAUGGGAAACAGGUUAAUAUUCCUGUACUUGGUGUUACUGCGAAGGGGGGACGGAGAAGGCUAUGUUAGCCGGGCGACGGUUGUCCCGGUUUAAGCAUGUAGGCGGAGGUUCCAGGUAAAUCCGGUACCUUUUAACGCUGAGGUGUGAUGACGAGGCACUACGGUGCUGAAGUAACAAAUGCCCUGCUUCCAGGAAAAGCCUCUAAGCAUCAGGUAACACGAAAUCGUACCCCAAACCGACACAGGUGGUCAGGUAGAGAAUACCAAGGCGCUUGAGAGAACUCGGGUGAAGGAACUAGGCAAAAUGGUGCCGUAACUUCGGGAGAAGGCACGCUGAUAUGUAGGUGAAGCCCCUGCGGGUGGAGCUGAAAUCAGUCGAAGAUACCAGCUGGCUGCAACUGUUUAUUAAAAACACAGCACUGUGCAAACACGAAAGUGGACGUAUACGGUGUGACGCCUGCCCGGUGCCGGAAGGUUAAUUGAUGGGGUUAGCGGCAACGCGAAGCUCUUGAUCGAAGCCCCGGUAAACGGCGGCCGUAACUAUAACGGUCCUAAGGUAGCGAAAUUCCUUGUCGGGUAAGUUCCGACCUGCACGAAUGGCGUAAUGAUGGCCAGGCUGUCUCCACCCGAGACUCAGUGAAAUUGAACUCGCUGUGAAGAUGCAGUGUACCCGCGGCAAGACGGAAAGACCCCGUGAACCUUUACUAUAGCUUGACACUGAACACUGGUCCUUGAUGUGUAGGAUAGGUGGGAGGCUUUGAAGCGUGGACGCCAGUCUGCGUGGAGCCGCCCUUGAAAUACCACCCUUUAAUGGCUGGUGUUCUAACGUAGACCCGUAAUCCGGGUUGCGGACAGUGUCUGGUGGGUAGUUUGACUGGGGCGGUCUCCUCCCAAAGAGUAACGGAGGAGCACGAAGG
Molecule: ribosomal RNA, 1446 nt
Filed under: Enterobacter cloacae complex sp. 2022EL-00788
Lineage: Bacteria; Pseudomonadati; Pseudomonadota; Gammaproteobacteria; Enterobacterales; Enterobacteriaceae
Description: partial 23S ribosomal RNA
Rfam family: Bacterial large subunit ribosomal RNA
Source: RNAcentral